UUUUUUUUUUUUUUUUUUUUUUUUUUGCCAUGCCCAAGACAUGUGGAAGUUCCUGAGGCCAGGGAUUGAACCUGUACCACAGCAAUGACAAUGCUGGAUCCUUAGUCUGCUGAGCCACUAGGGAACUCCCAUUUUUGUCUAGUCUUAACCUAACUAUAGGACUCAUUAAAGUUUGCAUUUUUGUCAUACUAUUUUUUAUUUUUUUAUUUUAUUUUAUUUUUUUGUCUUUUUGCCAUUUCUUGGGCCGCACUCAUGGCAUAUGGAAGUUCCCAGGUAUUAGUACCUGAUUUCUCUAAGACUGAAGUCUGUCUUCUCUUACUCCCAAUCUACUCUGGAAUUGGAGCACCACUGCAGGGGAAAAAAAAAAGAAGUACUCAUCAGGGAUAAGACUCUAAAGUGAGUAAGGGCUAGGUGUCAGAGGUUAACUUGUUUUCCUAAGGACAUCUUCGACGAAACUGAUUCUGACUCAUAAUCUAGAUUAGCCUCAGUAGCUGAGGACAUGUAUAGUUGGGUAGAAUCAGGGAACGCAUCACCUUAGUUACUCAAAGAUUAAGUCUAUCAUAAGUCAGGAUUCUCAUGGCUGGUUUUAAAAUACAAUACUCAUAUUUUAAUGGCCAGAAUGUUUCCACUGCUAUAUUUAAUAUCUAUGCAGAUUAGAGGGGAAAAAUGAACUGUGCCCUCCCAUUGGCAUAGUUGUUGAUAGAAAAACAUUUUGGUGUCAAUAUAAAACAAAAAUAUUUGGGAUUUGGGGGCUAAACUUUAUUUCUAACUAAUACUAUUCAUGACCAGCUUUUUAUACCUAAAAGCCAGUGAUUGGCAGUUUGGGUACCUUUUCUUUUUUUCUUUUCUUUUUUUGGUAAUAGAAUUCCAACUGCCACAAAGAAAGGAGGAAUGGUGGAAAGACUGACUCCUCUUCUUCUCUAGCUCAGUGAGGCAUACUAUAUGAACACUCUCCAACUCAAAGAGACUCCAAUUUGAGUAUAACAUAAUGUUGUAUACUAUAGUAUGCAAUAUAUUUUCAUUUACACUUCAUUUCUGACAAGUCUACUCACCAAAUGCGUAGGUCUCCCCCAUUGCGCACUCGCGCACACACACACACACCCCCAAAGCAAUUCUCCAAUUCUCUACAAACACAAGCUGGGUAUCCUACAACUCAAUUAUGACACUAUCUACCUGGACACAACAUCAGAUCCCACAGGUUAAGGAUUCAGUUCCACAAGACUGCCUCUACUUCAGAUACCAAUCAGAAGUUCAGGUUGUUACCAACUGGCUUUAUUUGUUUAUUUUCUUUUUAGGGCUACACCUGCAGUAUACAGAAGUUACCAGGCUAGGGGCUGAAUCAGAGCUGCAGCUGCAGGGCUGUGCCAUAGCCACAGCAACUCGGAAUUUGAGCUGCAUCUGCAACCUAUGCCACAAUUUGAGGCAAAGCCAGAUCCUUGACCCAUUGAGCAAGGCCAGGAUAUCACAUCCUCAUGGAUACUAGUCAGGUUCUUAACCUGCUGAGUGACAACGAGAACUCCCUCAACUGGCUUUAAAUUGGAGGGUCCCACAAUCCCUUCCUUUCGUUUGAUUAAUUUGCUAGAAUGGCUCACAGCACUCAGGAAAACAGUUUACUUAAUAGAUAACUGGUUUAUCAGAAAAGAAUAUAUGAUGCAGGAACAGCAACAUAGAAGAGAUACACAGGGCAAGGUAUGGAAGAAGAAGCAUGGAGCUUCCAUGUGC
RNAcentral lists this long non-coding RNA (1722 nucleotides) under Sus scrofa (pig). Its description in RNAcentral is "lncRNA (ENSSSCG00055026166.1)". The record is from RNAcentral. Lineage: Eukaryota; Metazoa; Chordata; Mammalia; Artiodactyla; Suidae.